Molecule: ribosomal RNA, 836 nt
Filed under: Chapsa leprocarpa
Lineage: Eukaryota; Fungi; Ascomycota; Lecanoromycetes; Ostropales; Graphidaceae
Description: LSU rRNA
Rfam family: Eukaryotic large subunit ribosomal RNA
Source: RNAcentral
CGAGUUCGAUUGUAUUUGUAGAGUAAGCUUCGGAUGCGGUGGUGACUUAAGUUCCCUCGAACAGGACAUCAAAGAGGGUGACAAUCCCGUCGCGGUCAUCCACCCAAUCCAUGUGAAGCUACUUCUACAAGUCUAGUUGUUUGGGAAUGUAGCUCAAAAUGGGUGGUAUAUUUCAUCUAAAGCUAAAUAUCAGCCAGAGACCGAUAGCGCACAAGUAGAGUGAUAUAAAGAUGAAAAGCACUUUGAAAAGAGAGUCAAAGUUGCGGGCCAACAUCANUUUCGGNGGCCGGACAAAGGMCCGAAGAAUGUGGCUUCCCCCCGGGGGAGUGUUAUAGCUUCGGGUGAAAUGCGGCCCGCCGGGACUGAGGAAAAUUGCCCUUUAUGCUGGGAUGUUGGCAUUAUGGUCAUCAGCGUCCCGUCUUGAAACACGAGCCAAGGAGUUGUGCCAUCCCUCGAGCGUUAGGGUGUAAAACCCUUGCGCGGAAUGAAAGUGAAGGUAGGUGGGAGCUUUUUCCGCACCAUCGACCGAUCCUAGUUCGCGAGGAUUUGAGAAUGAGUGUGAUGGCACGGACCCGAAAGAAGGUGAACUAUUGCUGACUAGGCCGAACCCAGAGGAAACUCUGGGGGAGGGUCGCAGGGUUUCUGACGUGCAAAUCGAUCGUCAAAGCGGGCAAUGGGGGGGAAAGACAAAUCGACCCUUCUAGUAGCGGGUCCCUGUGAAAUUUUCCCUCAGGAUAGCAGCAACGAUAAACAUUCUCAUGAGGUAGAGCAACGUUUAGAGCCCGGGGGUUGUAACACCCUUAACCAUUUUCAAACCUCAAAUAUGUAAAGAAGUC